Xiphophorus couchianus (Monterrey platyfish) is the source of this 578-nucleotide long non-coding RNA. RefSeq lists it as uncharacterized. Lineage: Eukaryota; Metazoa; Chordata; Actinopteri; Cyprinodontiformes; Poeciliidae. The transcript is spliced from 3 exons. The record is from RefSeq and is a predicted model, not a curated record.
AUUGACAGCCACUGCAUAUAUUGCUGCUAAAUCGCACCUUGGGUAGCAGACGCUGUGGGACUUUGACGUGCAGACAUAUGGUCGCUCAUCUGAACGCUGAAACGAUCUCUGUUUGUCAAAAGAGGAACUGGCCAGGUGUGUUCCAGAUCCCACCCCCGCUCGGAGUAACUGAAGGAUCUGGGACACAUUAAGAAUUGUCUGGUUUUUGUAUACUGACCGGACUGGCGAGCUAACCAUAGCGGAUUCAGAAAGUCACCCAUAAUCUGAGGAAACAUCUCCAAACCGGAAGGGAAAUUCAACCAACCACUUCACAGCUGGAACUAAAUGACUAUUUUUGUUUUUCCCUUCCGUCACCGACAGAGACUUCCUUGGUUUAAGGAACUGGACUUUAAAGCUGUGAAACAAUUUGUAUAUAUUGUAAAUAUAAAUACACCUCAUUGAUUUUGCACUCUCCAGUUGUAUGUGUCUUGCAAUUUGCCACUACCUCCAGUAGACGAACCUGGAACCUAGUUUUUCACUUAGAGUGACGUUGAUUUGGGUUUUUUAAUAAUCUUAAAAUGUAACUCGGGUUACAAUAG